RNAcentral lists this ribosomal RNA (460 nucleotides) under uncultured bacterium. RNAcentral's name for it is "partial 16S ribosomal RNA". It matches the Rfam family "Bacterial small subunit ribosomal RNA", at positions 338 to 795 of the family's 1533-position model. The record is from RNAcentral.
CCUACGGGAGGCAGCAGUGAGGAAUAUUGGUCAAUGGACGAGAGUCUGAACCAGCCAAGUAGCGUGAAGGAUGACUGCCCUAUGGGUUGUAAACUUCUUUUAUAUGGGAAUAAAACGUUCCACGAGUGGGAUUUUGUAUGUACCAUAUGAAUAAGGAUCGGCUAACUCCGUGCCAGCAGCCGCGGUAAUACGGAGGAUCCGAGCGUUAUCCGGAGUGAUUGGGUUUAAAGGGAGCUUAGGUGGAUUGUUAAGUCAGUUGUGAAAGUCUGCGGCUCAACCGUAAAAUUGCAGUUGAAACUGGCAGUCUUGAGGACAGUAGAGGUGGGCGGAAUUCGUGGUGUAGCGGUUAAAUGCUUAGAUAACACGAAGAACUCCGAUUGCGAAGGCAGUUCACUGGACUGCAACUGACACUGAGGCUCGAAAGUGUGGGUAUCAAACAGGAUUAGAUACCCGAGUAGUC